RNAcentral lists this ribosomal RNA (780 nucleotides) under uncultured bacterium. RNAcentral's name for it is "bacterial SSU rRNA". It matches the Rfam family "Bacterial small subunit ribosomal RNA", at positions 8 to 796 of the family's 1533-position model. The record is from RNAcentral.
AGAGUUUGAUCCUGGCUCAGAACGAACGUUGGCGGCGUGGAUUAGGCAUGCAAGUUGAACGAAUCCCCAGGGGCUUGCUCUUGGGGGGAAGUGGCGAAAGGGGCAGUAAGGCGUGGGUAACCUACCCCGGGGACGGGAAUAGCCAUUCUAACGAGUGGGUAAUGCCCGGCGAUGUAGCGAGGGGACAUCUCCUUGCUACGAAAUGAAUUUCGCCUCGGGAGGGGCUCACGUGGUAUUAGCUAGUUGGUAGGGUAACGGCCUACCAAGGCAAAGAUGCCUAGCGGGUGUGAGAGCACGACCCGCGCCACUGGCACUGUGACACUGGCCAGACACCUACGGGUGGCUGCAGUCGAGGAUCUUCGGCAAUGGGCGCAAGCCUGACCGAGCGACGCCGCGUGCGCGAUGAAGGCCUUCGGGUUGUAAAGCGCUGUCGAGGGGGAGGAAGCCGCAAGGUUGACCUAUCCCUGGAGGAAGCACGGGCUAAGUUCGUGCCAGCAGCCGCGGUAAGACGAACCGUGCGAACGUUGUUCGGAAUCACUGGGCUUAAAGGGCGCGUAGGCGGAUCAUCAAGUCCGGGGUGAAAUCUUUCGGCUUAACCGGAAAAGUGCCUUGGAUACUGGUGGUCUCGAGUGAGGUAGGGGCAUGUGGAACUUCUGGUGGAGCGGUGAAAUGCGUUGAUAUCAGAAGGAACUCCGGUGGCGAAAGCGACGUGCUGGACCUCUUCUGACGCUGAGGCGCGAAAGCUAGGGGAGCGAACGGGAUUAGAUACCCCCGUAGUCC